RNA transcript from Solenopsis invicta (red fire ant), 1554 nucleotides. RefSeq lists it as uncharacterized. NCBI's taxonomy places the organism in Eukaryota, Metazoa, Arthropoda, Insecta, Hymenoptera, Formicidae. The record is from RefSeq and is a predicted model, not a curated record. The transcript has 10 exons.
AAUACUUGAACGGAUUAUUUCUUUAUCAAAUGUAUACCAACGCUCAUAAGGAAAUGAUCUGUGCCGACUCUUUGAAUGUUGGUCUAAAUCGGUUUUUAUUACUCACAAUUGGUUUAUGGCCUUAUCAACAAUCUAAAAUCGUACGACUUCAAGUAAUUUUAUGUAUUGGUAUUUUGGCAAGUUUUAUUUUAGUUCAGCUUACAGUAUUUGUGACUUUAAAAUGUACUCUGGAUUUGCUUAUCAACGUUCUCUCUUCUGCAUUAUGUUAUACAAUAUUUGCAAUCAAAUACAUUUCGUUUAGCAUUAAUACUGAUAUUGUAAAAUAUUUGUUGGAACAACUACAGGAUAUCUGUAACGAGUUAACUGAUGAGAAUGAAAUCAAUAUUAUAAAAAAGUACAGUAGCUAUGCGAAACGUUAUACACUCCUAUCAUUACUGUUUGCCAUAUCAUGUAUAUCCAUUUUAAUUUUAUACGCAUUAUUUCCACAAAUUUUCAAUAUCCAAUUCUUAAGAAAUGCAACCGGACAUUAUUCAUUGCCGUUAAUGACUGAAUAUUUCAUCGAUCAAGAAAAACAUUUUUAUUUAAUAUUGUGCCAUGCAAACGCGGCCACUGGUUUAGGAGUUACCAUAAUAUUAGGAACAGGAACAAUGUUCAUAUUUUAUCAACAACAUGCGUGUGGAAUGUUUAAAAUCGCCAGUUAUCGUAUUAAACAAGCAAUAACGUACGAUACUUUACGAAAAAACAGCACGGAGAAAGAAAAUUUAAUUUACAAAGGAUUAAUUUGUGCAGUAGAUAUGCAUCGCAAAGCUAUGAACUUCUCUGAUUUGAUAAUAUCCAGGUUUAAAAUAAUGUUCUCUCUUUUGAUAAUAGCUGGGGUGACUAGCAUGACUCUUAAUAUGUUUCGGAUUUUUCAGAUGGUAUCAUUUGGAUAUAAUGAAGAUAUUAUGCAGCUUUUAACUCCGAUACUAUAUGCACUUACUACAUUGGUGUACAUAAUGAUGGCCAACUAUUUUGCACAACAAAUUAUAGAUCAUAAUAAUAAUUUAUUUGUCACCGUGUAUAAGAUUCAGUGGUAUAUAGCUCCAUUACAUAUACAGAAGUUGAUACUAUUUCUAUUACAAAGAGGUACCAAGACAUUCAAUAUGAAUAUUGCUGGAUUGUUUGUGGGAUCAUUAGAAGGCGCAGCUACGAUAAAAUAAUUGUUGGAGCAAGUGUAGCAUAUUUACAACCAACUAACUGAUGAGAAUGAAGUCAGUAUUUCAGAAAAAUAUGGCACUUAUGCAAAACGUUACACAAUUUUUUUUUCUAUUGUUAAUGUUGGGGAUAAAUGUUCCGCGCCGUAGUUUUUUGUUGUGGUGGCACUACUUCCUAGAGGCUUAGAUCGAUGGAUCGAUCUUCUUACGUUGCGCGUCUGCGCACUUUCGUUUUCCGCGUCUUCUUGUACCCACGUAUACACACGCUGCUGCGUGCAUUUCUAAACCUCUUUGUAUCAUUGUCAAAUAUAUGUACUUUGUAACAAUAAUAGUGUGUCUCACUCUGCACUACCGAUUUACU